UAACGUUAGUCGUUAAAAUGUUACGCUUUAGUUUGUACCUCUCGUUACUUGUGUUUAUUAUGUGUGACGAAUUUAGAAAAACUUACACCAAUAUACCCGUUGAUUCACAUCAUUAUUGUGUUGUUAACAAAUUUCAAAAACCAAUUUUUAAAUGCUUUGAAAGCGAAUAUAUUGAUUCAGGAUUCAAUGCUACUCAUUCUUGGUACACGAAAGAUAAUUUAAAAUGCGCGGCUUCCAUUAAAAGUAUUAAGAAAUACGCAAAGUUUUGUACCAAGAGGUUUCGUCGUGGUAUUAUAGAAGGGGUGACUGUACCUGCAAAAAAUGGAAAAGAUAAGAAAGGAAACCCAAUAAAAAAUGGGAAUGUAUUUGAUUAAAAUAUAAAGAAAUUUUUUUCAAUUUACUAUGUUCGUUAAGGAAACUAAUAAAAUUUGAUACAGGCAUAAAUAAAAAACAAAAUACAAUUAAUAUUAACAACAAACUGUUAUUAAUCAAUUUUGGAAACUGUAUAACAUUAUUGUUAUAUUUAUGUAUUGCUCGAUUUCAACCCCCUAAAAUCUUAAACCGAAUUGUUUUGUUUGAAAAUGGUAUAUUUUGCUGAAACAUUGAUAGAAUGUUAAUUUUCAUAAAGAAAAGUUUUUCAUUAAAAUAACAACAUUUCUUAGUACUCGGAAAUUUUGUUGAGGAUCUACAAUUAAAUAGAUUUAUGUAAAAACAAAGAUAUAUUGCUGGAAUUUUUCAAGAUUUAAAUCAGUAUAAAAAAGAUUUUCUCAUUUCUAUAAAUAACACGAUAACAAAGAUUGAAAUAUUAAGCCAACAAAACAGCCUUGAAAAUCAUCUAAGAAAAACAACAUCUUCAUCUUCCCAUAACUAGUUGUUACAAUGAUUCGGUCCGGUUUCUUCUUGUGCAUUUUAACAGCUUUGUUGACGUAUUCGGAAGAAUAUGUAAAAAUAGAGAUUGAUUCUAAUACAGUUUGCUUUUUGGGGGAAAAGGAUCGUAAAUCCCCAAUUUUUAAUUGUGGCGAGAACGGUAACAUAGAGUUAGUCAGAAAAAAAUUGAAAAAUCAGAACUAGAGAUAGUAGAAGGAAAUCAAUUUGGGAUAGCGUGUGUCUCCAAAUUCAACAAAAUUGGUAUUAGGGAUGAAUUGUCUUAUUUUGUUCUGGAAUUUCGCAUUCUUUCUGACUUACUUUGCAUAUUUAUAAAAUUUCUAAUUUAAAUUUUUUUUAUAUAAAAUAAGAUAAUAUCAGCUUAAAGUUUAAUUCUACUCACUCUUGGUUUAUUGAAAACAAUCGGAAAUGUGUAGCUACAAUAGAAAAUAUAAAGAAGAACGUGUUUUGUCGUGAUAAACGUUUUUAUUUUAGUUCACCUGGAGAAUUUCAUAACGUAGUUACUCCUUCUAAAAAUGGUAAUAAUCGACAAACUGGACAACCUCUUAAAUCUAGUGACACAUUUAAUAAUUAACCCCUAUGAAUUAAUCUUAGUACAGAGAACAUAAUUUAAAAUGUAUUGCCACUUGCCAGAAUACAAAAUAUAAAUAAAAUAGCCUAUUUUUAUAUCACAAA
RNAcentral lists this unclassified non-coding RNA (1560 nucleotides) under Onthophagus taurus. RNAcentral describes it as "uncharacterized LOC111423890, transcript variant X1". The record is from RNAcentral. Lineage: Eukaryota; Metazoa; Arthropoda; Insecta; Coleoptera; Scarabaeidae.